CAACUUUCAACAACGGAUCUCUUGGUUCUGGCAUCCAUGAAGAACGCAGCGAAAUGCGAUAAGUAGUGUGAAUUGCAGAAUUCAGUGAAUCAUCGAAUCUUUGAACGCACAUUGCGCCCCUUGGUAUUCCAUGGGGCAUGCCUGUUCGAGCGUCAUU
RNAcentral lists this ribosomal RNA (157 nucleotides) under Ampelomyces sp. ATCC 201056. RNAcentral describes it as "5.8S ribosomal RNA". It matches the Rfam family "5.8S ribosomal RNA". From Rfam's summary of the family: 5.8S ribosomal RNA (5.8S rRNA) is a component of the large subunit of the eukaryotic ribosome. It is transcribed by RNA polymerase I as part of the 45S precursor that also contains 18S and 28S rRNA. Lineage: Eukaryota; Fungi; Ascomycota; Dothideomycetes; Pleosporales; Phaeosphaeriaceae. The record is from RNAcentral.